This 85-nucleotide transfer RNA is filed under the name Alcaligenaceae bacterium. RNAcentral describes it as "tRNA-Leu". It matches the Rfam family "tRNA". Rfam says of the family: Transfer RNA (tRNA) molecules are approximately 80 nucleotides in length. Their secondary structure includes four short double-helical elements and three loops (D, anti-codon, and T loops). Lineage: Bacteria; Pseudomonadati; Pseudomonadota; Betaproteobacteria; Burkholderiales; Alcaligenaceae. The record is from RNAcentral.
GCGAACGUGGCGGAAUUGGUAGACGCACUGGAUUUAGGUUCCAGCGCCGCAAGGCGUGAGAGUUCAAAUCUCUCCGUUCGCACCA